Molecule: long non-coding RNA, 637 nt
Organism: Brienomyrus brachyistius
Lineage: Eukaryota; Metazoa; Chordata; Actinopteri; Osteoglossiformes; Mormyridae
Exons: 3
Source: RefSeq, a predicted model, not a curated record
UCAUGAACUGACAUCGCCUACAAAAAGUUACUCCCAAUUCACGAUUUAUGACAUUUGUCGAAUACAGACAAGGUGUUCGAUAGCAGAACGAGCAAGAAACUGCACCCUAUUAACCCUUCAGGCUGGUCUGUGCAUUGGUGAUUACAGUGAUCACAGGACUGCACUAAAGUUAUUCUUACUGAAGUAGCUACAAUCAAAGCGGGCGGUUGUGGUUUAACACGUACGGAGUCAUUGGCCUUUUCCCAUUUGAUCUCCCGUAAAUCAGCUGGAAAGCAGCCCAUCGGAAAUGAACACGGAUCAAAGCCCCAAUAGAUGCGGAAAAAAUGCUAAACGUCCAGGUUCUGGAGUUCCGGUGCUUUCUGGGAGACUCGCUGCCUGUUCUGUCAGCUGCAGCUCCGAGGACCACAGAGCCAUGCAGGGGUGAUACGGAACGCGGAGAGAACCAUCAGGACAGACCCGCUCACCCUAUAGGACAUCGACAUCCAGCAUAUGUACCACAAUACAAGGCCAGGCGUCAGUGAUAAACAGCUAGAAAAUGACAUACCCCCUUAUCUCUGGUCUCUUGGAUGAUGCUCAUACACUAAUCCAGGAAUUUCUACAUCCUCCCAAUAAAAUGUGCAUUACAGCAAACUCCCAA